UCUGGAAACUGUNUGACUUGAGUGCAGAAGGGGAGAGUGGAAUUCCAUGNGUAGCGGUGAAAUGCGUAGAUAUAUGGAGGAACACCAGUGGCGAAAGCGGCUCUCUGGUCUGUCACUGACGCUGAGGCUCGAAAGCGUGGGUAGCGAACAGGAUUAGAUACCCUGGUAGUCCACGCNGUAAACGAUGAGUGCUAGGUGUUAGGCCCUUUCCGGGGCUUAGUGCCGGAGCUAACGCAAUAAGCACUCCGCCUGGGGAGUACGACCGCAAGGUUGAAACUCAAAGGAAUUGACGGGGGCCCGCACAAGCGGUGGAGCAUGUGGUUUAAUUCGAAGCAACGCGAAGAACCUUACCAGGUCUUGACAUCCCGAUGCUAUUCUUAGAGAUAGGAAGUUACUUCGGUACAUCGGAGACAGGUGGUGCAUGGUUGUCGUCAGCUCGUGUCGUGAGAUGUUGGGUUANNNNNNNNNACGAGCGCAACCCUUAUUGUUAGUUGCCAUCAUUAAGUUGGGCACUCUAGCGAGACUGCCGGUAAUAAACCGGAGGAAGGUGGGGAUGACGUCAAAUCAUCAUGCCCCUUAUGACCUGGGCUACACACGUGCUACAAUGGUCGGUACAACGAGUUGCGAGCCGGUGACGGCAAGCUAAUCUCUGAAAGCCGAUCUCAGUUCGGAUUGGAGGCUGCAACUCGCCUCCAUGAAGUCGGAAUCGCUAGUAAUCGCGGAUCAGCACGCCGCGGUGAAUACGUUCCCGGGCCUNG
RNAcentral lists this ribosomal RNA (758 nucleotides) under uncultured bacterium. Its description in RNAcentral is "bacterial SSU rRNA". It matches the Rfam family "Bacterial small subunit ribosomal RNA", at positions 625 to 1383 of the family's 1533-position model. The record is from RNAcentral.